AGUGAAUGCUGGCGGUAGGCCUAACACAUGCAAGUCGAACGGCAGCACAGUAAGAGCUUGCUCUUACGGGUGGCGAGUGGCGGACGGGUGAGGAAUACAUCGGAAUCUACUUUUUCGUGGGGGAUAACGUAGGGAAACUUACGCUAAUACCGCAUACGACCUACGGGUGAAAGCAGGGGAUCUUCGGACCUUGCGCGAUUGAAUGAGCCGAUGUCGGAUUAGCUAGUUGGCGGGGUAAAGGCCCACCAAGGCGACGAUCCGUAGCUGGUCUGAGAGGAUGAUCAGCCACACUGGAACUGAGACACGGUCCAGACUCCUACGGGAGGCAGCAGUGGGGAAUAUUGGACAAUGGGCGCAAGCCUGAUCCAGCCAUACCGCGUGGGUGAAGAAGGCCUUCGGGUUGUAAAGCCCUUUUGUUGGGAAAGAAAAGCAGCAGGUUAAUACCCCGCUGUUCCGACGGUACCCAAAGAAUAAGCGCCGGCUAACUUCGUG
This 492-nucleotide ribosomal RNA is filed under the name uncultured bacterium. Its description in RNAcentral is "partial 16S ribosomal RNA". It matches the Rfam family "Bacterial small subunit ribosomal RNA", at positions 29 to 507 of the family's 1533-position model. The record is from RNAcentral.